UACGGAGGGUGCGAGCGUUGUCCGGAAUCACUGGGCGUAAAGGGCGCGUAGGCGGCGCGGAUAGUCGGCGGUGAAAGCCCGGAGCUCAACUCCGGGUCGGCCGUCGAUACUUCCGGGCUUGAGCACUGUAGAGGCAGAUGGAAUUCCGGGUGUAGCGGUGGAAUGCGUAGAGAUCCGGAGGAACACCGGUGGCGAAGGCGGGUCUCUGGGCAGUAACUGACGCUGAGGAGCGAAAGCGUGGGGAGCGAACAGG
Molecule: ribosomal RNA, 253 nt
Filed under: uncultured bacterium
Lineage: Bacteria
Description: partial 16S ribosomal RNA
Rfam family: Bacterial small subunit ribosomal RNA
Source: RNAcentral